AAGGAGAAAGCCUCCAUUAGCAGAAGGCUGCGGCUCCCAGCGUCCCUGGGACAAGAAGCAUCUGUUGCUACUCCCCAUUGUUCCAGCCGAGAGCACACUAAUUGUCCUCUCCAAAGUUGGACUGCAGUCUCUUGCCAGAGGGAAAUUAGGGGCCGAUUUUCAGCAGGCGCUGUCCUUUCCACAGCUGUCAGCUGAACAGCCCCAGGAGGGGACGGGCUGAUUUGAGGGGUGGGGGAGAGAAGUCCAUCCUGCAUCCUGAUCCACACAGCCAAGGGAAAGUUAGCCUGGCCCUGAGAGGGAGCAGGAGACCCACCAGACGGCCACCACUCAAGAAAUCACAGGCAGCCUGGCUGCAACUUCUCUGGAAGGUUCCAUAGGAUUUCAUGGCAUGCAUGUAGAUGUGGAACUAGAUAACAAGACUUCAAGACUAUAGAAGAUGGCCUGGAAAACGUCACAGAGUGGAGGAAUCCAGGAUCCUCAAGGUGCCCCAGGAAGAGGGUCAUUCAGGGUCAUUCUGGUCAUUCACCACGAACACCCUCCACGGCACUUGGAGAAAUAAACAGAUUGUCUUAAGACACUGAGAUGAGGGCUGCAUGUUACAGGGGACAAAACUGACUGUACUUUGAUGGAUACCCGAGCCUGUGAUAUCCCACAGAUUCUGUGAUCAAUGACCCCACGUGAACGUCACAACCCGACAAUAAAGAGUUAUCAUCCCCGUUGUA
Molecule: non-coding RNA, 722 nt
Organism: Ictidomys tridecemlineatus (thirteen-lined ground squirrel)
Lineage: Eukaryota; Metazoa; Chordata; Mammalia; Rodentia; Sciuridae
Source: RefSeq, a predicted model, not a curated record